UACGUAGGGUGCAAGCGUUAAUCGGAAUUACUGGGCGUAAAGCGUGCGCAGGCGGUUUCGUAAGUCUGUCGUGAAAUCCCCGGGCUUAACCUGGGAAUGGCGAUGGAGACUGCGAGGCUAGAGUUUGGCAGAGGGGGGUAGAAUUCCACGUGUAGCAGUGAAAUGCGUAGAGAUGUGGAGGAACACCGAUGGCGAAGGCAGCCCCCUGGGUCAAAACUGACGCUCAUGCACGAAAGCGUGGGGAGCAAGCGGG
Molecule: ribosomal RNA, 253 nt
Filed under: uncultured bacterium
Lineage: Bacteria
Description: partial 16S ribosomal RNA
Rfam family: Bacterial small subunit ribosomal RNA
Source: RNAcentral